Molecule: ribosomal RNA, 1333 nt
Filed under: Austruca lactea
Lineage: Eukaryota; Metazoa; Arthropoda; Malacostraca; Decapoda; Ocypodidae
Description: 16S ribosomal RNA
Rfam family: Archaeal large subunit ribosomal RNA (bases 626-1333)
Source: RNAcentral
GAAUUAUCUUGUUAAAAUAGUUUAUUUAUUAAAUGAAAGUAGGAAAAAUAAUUUGAUUUGAUAAUAAAAAGUAAUUUUUGGUGAAAAUUUUUUUUAACUAUAGUCAAUAAGUACUGAAAAGGAAGGAUGAAAAUUUAAAAUUCUAAAGUAUAGUAAAUUUAAUCGUUUGUAUUUUGUGUAUUAAAGAAGAUUUAAAUAUUUUAAUUAACUUUAAAUUUCUCGAAAUAAAUGUAGCUAGUCUAAAAUAUAAGUUUUUGUAGUAAAAAAAUUUAUUAUUUAAGACUAAAGAUGAAACGUCAAUCGAAAUUUAUUAUAUCUAGUUUUUUUAAAAUUAAUUAAAUUAUAUUUCUGUGAGUUUAAAGCACAGAAUUGAAAUGUAGGAGGGAUUAGCUUCUUAUAUAUUACAGUAUAUAAUAGUAAAGGUAAAAGACUAAGAUUAAAUUAGGCUUAAAAGUAGCUAUGUUAGUAAAGUGUUUUAACUAAAUAUUAUUUAUUUAAAAUUUUCUAUUUACUUUAGUUUCUAAAAAAAAAUGAUCUUAAUUAGUUCAAGUCUAGAUAUAAUGAUUUUAUUAGUAAAUAUUAAUAGUGUUAAUUAGCGUCUAUAUUAAAAUAUAAUUGGUUUUUUAUUAUUGGAAUAGGUUGUAAAAAGGAACUCGGCAAAUAAUUUCUUUGCCUGUUUAUCAAAAACAUGUCUGUUUGUAGAUAUAAAGAGUCUGGCCUGCCCACUGAUUUUUUAAAGGGCCGCGGUAAUCUGACCGUGCAAAGGUAGCAUAAUCGUUAGUUUUUUAAUUGGAAUCUUGUAUGAAUGGUUGAACAAAAGAACAGCUGUCUCUAUACUUUUUUCUGAAUUUAACUUUUAAGUGAAAAGGCUUAAAUGCUUUAAGAAGACGAUAAGACCCUAUAAAGCUUAAUAAGCUUUUGUAAAAAACUGAAUUUAAAAAAUAAAAGUUCAGUACAAGAUGCUUAUUUUGUUGGGGCGACAAUGAUAAAGUGUUUGUUAACUGUUAAAAAAAAAGACAAAAUUAAAUGGUUGAAAAUUGUGGUUUAAAUGAUCCUCCUGUGGAGAUUAAAAGUUUAAGUUACUUUAGGGAUAACAGCGUUAUUUCUUUUGAGAGUCCUUAUCGAAAAAGAAGUUUGCGACCUCGAUGUUGAAUUAAAAUUUCUAUAUAAUUGCAGAGGUUAUAAUAGAAGGUCUGUUCGACCUUUAAAUUUUUACAUGAUUUGAGUUCAGACCGGCGUGAGCCAGGUUGGUUUCUAUCUUUUAAAAAAUAAGAAGUUACUUUAGUACGAAAGGAUUAAGUAACUAAAAUUAUUUUAUUUUUGGUAAACUACU